RNAcentral lists this ribosomal RNA (266 nucleotides) under Planctomycetota bacterium. RNAcentral describes it as "partial 23S ribosomal RNA". It matches the Rfam family "Bacterial large subunit ribosomal RNA", at positions 1 to 263 of the family's 2925-position model. The record is from RNAcentral. Lineage: Bacteria; Pseudomonadati; Planctomycetota.
GUGGUCAAGCUACGAAGAGUGCAUGGUGGAUGCUUUGGUGCCAAGAAGCGAUGAAGGACGUUGCAAGGCUGCGAUAAGCCUCGGUGAGCCGCCCAGCAGGCUAUGACCCGGGGAUUUCCGAAUGGGGAAACCCCUUGCGUCGAAGGCGCAAGACUCAGCCCUGAAUUCAUAGGGGCUGAGAGCGAACGAGGGGAACUGAAACAUCUAAGUACCCUCAGGAAUAGAAAGAAACCUCUACUUCCUUAGUAGCGGCGAGCGAAAAGGAA